Molecule: long non-coding RNA, 747 nt
Organism: Mauremys reevesii (Reeves's turtle)
Lineage: Eukaryota; Metazoa; Chordata; Testudines; Geoemydidae
Exons: 3
Source: RefSeq, a predicted model, not a curated record
GGGGAUGUUGACGCUGUGCAAUCCUUGCUGAAAAUCCUUAGAGGCUGAAUUCUCCAGCUGCUUUUAUAUGGGAGUUGGGAAUUUUGGGGCACUGUAGAAGGGCAAUGAAGUGAACUCUCACCCACUCAGAGAUUACAGAAGCACAGACAGUUGAAUUUAACUCAGAUACACAAUUCACAAGAAGAGGAUCCACUGCUUGUUGAUCCAUUUCCCAGCCUGGGAAGAAAGGAGCUCCGUGGAGCCUGAUGCAGACGAGACCUUCAACCUGGCCCCAUCUACCAGCUGAUACCCCAGGGGAAAGAGGCACUUUGGGGAGAUGAGUCCAGCAGAUAAUUGUACCCCACCUCAGCUGAAGAGAACAAACUGAGAGAAGAAGGUCUAAGAAAGAAAGAACAGAGGUGAGGCUGAGUCUGAAGGCGGGAGAGAGAGAUACAAUAAAGAUCUUGCAGGAAAAAAUUCUGAAAGCAGAGAAUAAGUUGUAAUAAAGACAGUAGUGGCUAUGAUGAUUCUAACCUUAAAGAGUCUGGAAAAUUCUCUGGAUUGAGCACUUACUUCAUCCACGAAGCAGCAAAACAAACAUCUGGCCAUGCAGUUUCCACACCUUCAGGGAUCCCCAAUAUUUCCAUAUUCCUUCACUGAAGUUUAUUUUCCUUGCCAUCCUAUUUAUUUUUAAAAGCUUAGUCUGCUUUAAUUUACAGGAACUCCUCACUUAAUGUCAUCCCGGUUAACGUUGUUUCGAAGUUAAAU